UCAAUUGAUAGAAAAUUAGUUGAUAUUUUUACCAAACUCCUUAGUGAAGAUAGAUUUAGCAAUGAUUAGUGAAGAAUUGGGGCUUUGUGAUCCUUUUAGUCAAGCCUUUAGUCUAAGAGCCCUUGAUUUACAUCCAUCUCUUGUUAAUUGAUUUGAUUUCAUCUCUAAUUGAUCAAAAUUUUAAUUGAUUAUUUCCAUUGGAUCUAACCCUCUUAAAGCCAACUCCUAAUCUGAGGAGUCGAUUUGUUGGACUGAGGGAGAGCUAUGAGUCAACUUCCUCGUGAAGGGGAGUCAGCUCAUGCUGUUAAGCUGAGGAGUCAACUAGUGGAUUGGUCGAGUCAAUCCAAAUGUCGAGACAUGAGAAUAUAACCUGAUCUAUCUCGAAUCAAUCGAAUUCUAUUUUUUUUCCUCUCUGACCAAAGCUCCAUCAAAGAUCUCUCCCUUCCAAAUUCAACCUCUCAAAUCCCUUUUCAACCCAUUUUUGUGGAAGAUUGAGUCCCCAAAUGACUCUUCGAAAGAAAAUUAUAUAAAUAUAUUAAAUAGGUUUGAACUCAAGAAAGAUUGGAGCACCACUUGAAACAACAGUCCAACCCUCAUCUGCCACC
RNAcentral lists this long non-coding RNA (605 nucleotides) under Elaeis guineensis (African oil palm). RNAcentral describes it as "long non-coding RNA (EGUI_LNC063729)". The record is from RNAcentral. Lineage: Eukaryota; Viridiplantae; Streptophyta; Magnoliopsida; Arecales; Arecaceae.